AACGGCCGCGGUAUCCUAACCGUGCAAAGGUAGCAUAAUCAUUUGCCUAUUAAUUGUAGGCUAGUAUGAAAGGGUUAACGAAAUAAAGACUGUCUCAAUUAAUCACCUAAAAACUAUUCUCUACUUGAAGAAAAGUAGAUUCCCUCGAAGGACAAGAAGACCCUAUAGAGCUUAAUUCUACUUAUAGAUAAUACACUAUAAAAAAAUUCGGUUGGGGCGACCCAGGGAUAAUUAAUCACCCAUAAAAAAAAAGAUAUAUAAAUCAAAUAAAUGACCCUAAUAGAUCACAAGACCAAGCUACCUUAGGGAUAACAGGCUAAUCCCACUUAAGAGUCCUUAUCAACAGUGGGGUUUGGCACCUCGAUGUUGGCUUAGG
RNAcentral lists this ribosomal RNA (376 nucleotides) under Metaphire communissima. RNAcentral's name for it is "partial 16S ribosomal RNA". It matches the Rfam family "Bacterial large subunit ribosomal RNA", at positions 1926 to 2541 of the family's 2925-position model. Lineage: Eukaryota; Metazoa; Annelida; Clitellata; Crassiclitellata; Megascolecidae. The record is from RNAcentral.